ACCCAAAGGCUCUCCCCAUGCCCUCACUUUCUCUCCCUUUCUCUCCUCUUGGGUAUUCUAUACACCCCUUUCUUAGGACACGCAUCCCAAGGAGUUUCAUGCCCAAAAAAAUUUGGCUGCCUCUUUCUUAUUGAUUUCUAACAUCUAGUAGCAGCACAUAGCAAGGAGAAACUCUAGAGAAGAGAAGAAGAAGAAGAUCAAGGAGAAA
Molecule: long non-coding RNA, 208 nt
Filed under: Elaeis guineensis (African oil palm)
Lineage: Eukaryota; Viridiplantae; Streptophyta; Magnoliopsida; Arecales; Arecaceae
Description: long non-coding RNA (EGUI_LNC036451)
Source: RNAcentral